Molecule: unclassified non-coding RNA, 334 nt
Filed under: soil metagenome
Description: partial contains 5.8S ribosomal RNA, internal transcribed spacer 2, and large subunit ribosomal RNA
Rfam family: 5.8S ribosomal RNA (bases 1-120)
Source: RNAcentral
GAUGAAGAACGCAGCGAAAUGCGAUAAGUAGUGUGAAUUGCAGAAUACAGUGAAUCAUCGAAUCUUUGAACGCACAUUGCGCCCCUUGGUAUUCCAUGGGGCAUGCCUGUUCGAGCGUCAUUUGUACCUUCAAGCUUUGCUUGGUGUUGGGUGUUUGUCCAUUCUCUUGCAGAGGGACUCGCCUUAAAGUAAUUGGCAGCCAGUGUUUUGGUUUUGAAGCGCAGCACAAGUCGCGAUUCAACGCUAUACGCCAGCUUCCACAAGCCUUUUUCACUUUUGACCUCGGAUCAGGUAGGGAUACCCGCUGAACUUAAGCAUAUCAAUAAGCGGAGGA